RNAcentral lists this long non-coding RNA (848 nucleotides) under Ananas comosus (pineapple). Its description in RNAcentral is "long non-coding RNA (ACOM_LNC016381)". The record is from RNAcentral. Lineage: Eukaryota; Viridiplantae; Streptophyta; Magnoliopsida; Poales; Bromeliaceae.
CUUAAUUUCCCUCAAUAGUAAUAUUAUUUAGGUAGUGUUUGGCUCUGGUAUAAAUAAGAAUAGUUAUUACAGAAAUAACUAUAAGUAUAGGAAUAAGAAAAAUAGUAUUUAUAUAUAAAAAUUGUGUUGUUUUCGGGAAUAGAAAAAAUAGCGUUUGGAUAGAUAAUAUAGAAUAAGAAAAAUAGUUAGUAGUUAUAUAUAAAAAAUGAAGGUGUUGGUUGGAAUAGUUAUACCAGCUUAUUUCAGAUAUCCGAAAAUUACUAUUCUCGCGUAAAAAUUUAUGUUUGGGUAUAAAAGGGGUGAUUAGGGAUGUUAAUGGGUAUGGAUAUUCAAAAUUUUAUUCGAACCCGAACCCGAACCCGAAAGAAUGGAUAUAGAUAUGGAUUCGGACCUGGAUAUAAAAAAUAGAAACCUGAAGGAUAUGGAUUCGGAUAUGGAUUUUGAUUGUACCCGACCCGAACCCGAACCCGGCCCAAACCCGACCCGAACCCGAAUUUAUUUUGUAUUAUAUAUAAUAUAUAUAUAAAAAUUUGAUGUUAUAUUUGAAUUUGUAUUUUAAAAAUUUAGAUUUAAUAUAAUAUAUUUUGAAAUAUUGAAAAAAGAAAUAAUUGUUUCGGGUUCAAAUUUUUGGGUUCGGGUUCGGGUUCGGGUUCGAGUUUCGAAUUUUUGAUCGGAUUCGGGUUUGGAUAUGGAUUUUUAAAAUCCGUCGGGUUCGGGUCUCGGGUUUGGAGUCGGGUUCAGUUUCGGAUUUUUAAAAAUCCACUCCGAAUCCGACCCGAUGACAUCUCUAGAGGUGAUAAGGGGUUAUCCCUUAUCCCUCCCCUUAUCCCUCAUCCAAUACUUUGAAG